Molecule: ribosomal RNA, 224 nt
Filed under: uncultured bacterium
Lineage: Bacteria
Description: partial 16S ribosomal RNA
Rfam family: Bacterial small subunit ribosomal RNA
Source: RNAcentral
UGAGCAAUCUGCCCUUCUCAUCGGAAUAAGCGUUGGAAACGACGUCUAAUGCCGAAUACGACCUCCUUUCGCAUGAUCGGAGGUGGAAAGCUCCGGCGGAGAAGGAUGAGCUCGCGGCCUAUCAGCUAGUUGGUGUGGUAAUGGCCCACCAAGGCGACGACGGGUAGCUGGUCUGAGAGGAUGAUCAGCCACACGUGGGACUGAGACACCGGCCCAGACCUCCG